UGGGGAAUUUUGCACAAUGGUGGAAACUCUGAUGCAGCGACGCCGCGUGAGUGAUGAAGAUCUUCGGAUUGUAAAACUCUGUCCUCAGUGAAGAUAAUGACAGUAACUAAGAAGCAAGCCCUGGCUAAAUACGUGCCAGCAGCCGCGGUAAUACGUAUGGGGCAAGCGUUGUCCGGAAUUAUUGGGCGUAAAGGGUACGUAGGCGGUUUAAUAAGUCCUAAUUAAAAGGCUAUGGCUCAACCAUAGUAUGGUUAGGAAACUGUUGGACUUGAGUAGAUGAGGGGAAAGUAGAAUUCCAUGUGUAGCGGUGAAAUGCGUAGUUAUAUGGAGGAACACCAAUGGCGAAGGCAACUUUCAGGAAUCAAACUGACGCUGAGGUACGAAGGCGUGGGGAGCAAGCAGG
Molecule: ribosomal RNA, 403 nt
Filed under: Fusobacteriota bacterium
Lineage: Bacteria; Fusobacteriati; Fusobacteriota
Description: Fusobacteria bacterium partial 16S ribosomal RNA
Rfam family: Bacterial small subunit ribosomal RNA
Source: RNAcentral